GGCAGGCAAUUGAGUUUAUCGCUCUUCCCAGUUCCGGGCAUCUGUCCUGGUUAUUCCUCAUUUGCUACCCUGAACUCUUUCCCCAUCCCGCCACCGCAUUCCUCCUUCUCUGUCUGCCUUGGGAAGUCAACUGCUGCAGACACCAUUACCCAGGCUCCUUUGCUGCUUGGUUUCUGGUCAUCUGGGGGACAUUUACAGUUUCAAAUAUCACCAGCUACUACUGAAAAGGAAGAAAAGGAAGACUCUCUUGCGUUUGAACUCUGUGGACAGGCUGAUAUUUUAAACUCUGGAAGGGAGGGCCUCAUGGAAACCUUUACCUUCACUGUCACAAGGAUUUCUACUUCUUGUUUCUGGGUGGCCACUGAGUUGAUUUCAGUGGUGUCCAAUUAGGAAUAUAUUUUUUGACUUCAAGAUCCAGCGUCAGACAUGGAGACUGCCUUACAGAGACUGCUUAAUCAGUUCCCACAAUUGUGACUCCAGCUCAUAGUACCCAGCCACCAUUCGUAAAGAAGGCUCAACAAGCCCAUGCAGGGAGAUCAUGUGGAGCAGCCCAUUUGGAGAGGAGCUUGAAUCCUCAACUGAUACCUGGCAUUAACCACCAGACAUGGGACUGAGUGAGGCCUUGGAAGUUUCCAGCCCCCAGCUUUUGAGUCUUCCAGCUGAAGCCUUGGACAUUAUGGAGAAGAGUGGAACAGAGAUAAAAUGUCCCCAUAAAACCUUCCCCAAAUUGAAUAUUUGUGAACAGAAUAAAUAUUGUUGUU
Molecule: long non-coding RNA, 761 nt
Organism: Manis javanica (Malayan pangolin)
Lineage: Eukaryota; Metazoa; Chordata; Mammalia; Pholidota; Manidae
Source: RefSeq, a predicted model, not a curated record